AGAGUUUGAUCCUGGCUCAGAGUGAACGCUGGCGGCAGGCCUAAUACAUGCAAGUCGAACGGCAGCACAGCAGAGCUUGCUCUGUGGGUGGCGAGUGGCGGACGGGUGAGGAAUACAUGGGAAUCUGCCCAGUCGUGGGGGAUAACGUAGGGAAACUUACGCUAAUACCGCAUGCGCCCUUCGGGGGAAAGCCGGGGACCGUAAGGCCUGGCGCGAUUGGAUGAGCCCAUGUCGGGUUAGCUAGUUGGCGGGUAAAGCCCACCAAGGCGACGAUCCGUAGCUGGUCUGAGAGGAUGAUCAGCCACACUGGAACUGAGACACGGUCCAGACUCCUACGGGAGGCAGCAGUAGGGAAUAUUGGACAAUGGGCGCAAGCCUGAUCCAGCCAUGCCGCGUGAGUGAAGAAGGCCCUCGGGUUGUAAAGCUCUUUUGUCCGGAAAGAAAAGCGCCGGGUUAAUACCCUGGUGUCCUGACGGUACCGGAAGAAUAAGCACCGGCUAACUUCGUG
Molecule: ribosomal RNA, 508 nt
Filed under: uncultured bacterium
Lineage: Bacteria
Description: bacterial SSU rRNA
Rfam family: Bacterial small subunit ribosomal RNA
Source: RNAcentral